Mercenaria mercenaria is the source of this 4507-nucleotide long non-coding RNA. RefSeq lists it as uncharacterized. The transcript is spliced from 2 exons. Lineage: Eukaryota; Metazoa; Mollusca; Bivalvia; Venerida; Veneridae. The record is from RefSeq and is a predicted model, not a curated record.
GUAGUGGAAGACGUUAGCAAUGGUAGUGGAAGACGUAAGCAAUGGUAGUGGAAGACGUUAGCAAUAGUAGUGGAAGACGUCAGCAAUGGUAGUGGAAGACGUUAGCAAUGGUAGUGGAAGACGUCAGCAAUGGUAGUGGAAGACGUUAGCAAUGGUAGUGGAAGACGUAAGCAAUGGUAGUGGAAGACGUUAGCAAUGGUAGUGGAAGACGUAAGCAAUGGUAGUGGAAGACGUUAGCAAUGGUAGUGGAAGACGUAAGCAAUGGUAGUGGAAGACGUAAGCAAUGGUAGUGGAAGACAUCAGCAAUGGUAGUGGAAGAUGUUAGCAAUGGUAGUGGAAGACAUCAGCAAUGGUAGUGGAAGACGUAAGCAAUGGUAGUGGAAGACAUCAGCAGUGGUAGUGGAAGACGUUAGCAAUAGUAGUGGGAGAUAUCAGCAAUGGUAGUGGAAGACGUCAGCAAUGGUAGUGGAAGACGUAAGCAAUGGUAGUGGAAGACGUUAGCAAUGGUAGUGGAAGACGUUAGCAAUAUGCUAGUGGAAGACGUUAGCAAUAUGCUAGUGGAAGACGUCAGCAAUGCAAGUGAAUGACGUUAGCAACGGUAGUGAAAGAAGUCAGCAAUGGUAGUGAGAAAGGGGUCUCAUAAGCAUGUUUCUUUUUAGAAAUUUUAAGUCGAAUGUAGAUAGAUGAAUGACCGUUCCCGUUUUUUCCGAACUUUAUAAAUACAGCUGUCCAUAACGAAAAUGCGUUACAAAAUCUAAAUAUAGUGCCUUCCAUUUAACUUCAUCUUGCAAAUUACCCUGUGUUUUUAUUUUUUUUAACAUUUGUUGCUCAUCUAAAAUAUUCUUAAUUUAAAAUGUUCUAAAUAUUUUUUCUUGCCUACCUAGCAGGGAAAGUAUACAUUUGUCCGAGCACGCGCCAGGGAUAGAUAUUCCUGUCUUUCCCUAGGAAACAAACCUUGUCUAAAGUGCACUCCGGUCACGUCACAUAGUACUGGCACUAUUAUCACGUCAUAAACUAUAAAAAUAUUGCCAGGAAAUACCCAAAUCUAUUCGUCAUCUCGAUCUAUUUUGAACGUGAUAGGCAAAAUAAAAAGGAUCCAAUAUGUCUGCCUGUGUAAGACAACUUUUUUUCCCAACCAUCGGGACAGCUUGGUUUAAAACCUCGCUAUCGCUCGGUUUUUCACUCCACACUGUCCCUCGGGUAGGGAAAAACCUGUCUUACACAGGCAGACUGUAAGAUCCUUAUAAUCUUACGUGAUUAGGACUUUGUUUUCUUGCACACCAGACUGGCGUUUCCAGUGAUUUUACCCAUUCCGGCAAAACCCAUCUGGCAACCCCACCAUGCCAGAUGACUCUCGUGCUGUUAAUGAAAACUAAUGAUUAAUGCAUUGAUUUUAUAAUAUUUAUGUAAAAUACGGAAAAAUCAGGUACCUUGAUAGUUUCUCUCCAUUCCUUAUGGUAAAUUUCUCGAUUCAAAAUACGUUAUUUCAUGGUAAGAUCAUACCGUUACGCUACAAAACUAAAGUGGAGCUUUGUUUUUUACGUCACUGUUCAAAAUGUCAUGACGUCACUUCUGCUUACGGAAGUUAAUUCCCUGCGCUUUGUGUACAUACUCUACUAUAAGAGAGAGUGCUACCAAGAAGGUAUUUAUACUUGCUUUUUUUAUUCUAUCAUUUGUAAAAUACGAUUUGCAUGAAAAAUAUUUUGCCAGAAUGUAUACGAUAUGCAAGAAAACUAACAUUCAUGUGUUUAGGAAUCGGAUAGAAAUAUCCGUCCUGAGGGCACCUGCACAUUGGGCGGCAACGAGGCUUGCCGAGUUACCGCCCAUGCGCAGGUGGCCGAGGACAGAUGUUAUUAAUCAACGUACUUUAAAUCCAGCUGAUUGAAAAUAAUAGAUGUCGUUUUCCUAUGUUUCUUUUAACUUUUGAACGGCCGUUUGUAGCUUCAUUAAAUAGACUGCAACUGGUAUUUCCACAACAGCCGUAAUGGAAGCUGGAGUGUUUGUCUUCGGCACUGAAUACAAAUACGAAUUAUGCAAAUAAAACUAAUGCUGUGAGAUUGCCUUGUCUUGACGCAAGAUAUAUACGCCAUACCUGCUUGCCGUCAAGGUGACAGAAGAUUAUGAGCAUAUAUAAUAAAUACUAAAUUAAACAAAUUAAUAAACCGAACGGUACAGACUUGUUUGAAGCGCUUCACGGUCUGCGGGUUACAUGAGCAGAGUUAUUUCGCACCUGUUUCGCUCCGCUUUGCUUACAAAAUUAUGUCAUGUGGUGUGAAAUCUACACCAGCUACGAAGGUUUCUUUGGUCGGGAAAAGACUAAUAUUUCUCAAAUAAAUUGACAGAGGUAUGAUGAAGACAACAUAAACGUAAAACCAGACAUCUUAAUAACAGAAACAAAAAUGCUUCAAAUAAGGUAAACACUUUUAUACGUGACGGUCUCAAGGUGUCUGGCGUGUUUUAUGUCUCGGCUAAGAAUCAUUUUGUAAGAUCUUAAUAGAUAUGGCUAGUUUCCAUUCUCAUAGUGACGGGUGUAAGGUAAUGGCAUAAAAGAAGAAGCUUUAGGGACAAUAUCAGUUUCAAACGGUUUCAUCGACCAUGACAUAUCUCUGGCUGGCGGUUUGAUAACAUCAAAUGAUCGGACCCUACUAAAUGCGUUGAAACCCAGAGAGGUUCAUUCCGUUGAUCUUGCAUUGUAAGCAGCAAUAAUACACUUUGCCAGUGUAAAGACCAGCAUGGUAAGGAGGAGAAGAGGUGUAAUUUUUCUUCCAGUGGUAAUGCAGUUCGGUUCGUGCCGGGUCUAAGCAACUACAGCGACUUGCAGUCAUAACAAUGGGCGUUACGACAAAUGAGCAACAAAACAGCUAUGGAGAAUGAAACAGGUGUUGAUUUUAGAUUAAAGACGGGUUUUUAAACAUUAGAAGAAUGAAAAUGAACCAUGGAAGUGAUAAUCAUUUCCAAAGCUUUACGCUUGCACAACGUGAUUUUGGUGUUCUAGGUAUUGCGGACUAUAUUUAUUCACGGUGCACAAUCACGUGGUCUUUGACGUCACGCCGUAGGUAUCGCGCCAAGCAUUUUUGUCAACAAAGCGUCGAUUCAAGAAGAAAAUUCGUCUUAAAUAUUUUGUUACGAAAUUUUGUAAAAUGUAUUUUGUAUGUUGCAAGUCCGUUUAUAAAUGCGUACCUCCAAUCACACAGCAUCUGCCCGUGUCUGCUUUAGUUUGGCUGGAAUACGGGACAAACUGACCAAAAUCUCAAAAUGCUCUUGCUGUCGCUCCAAGCUGAUUCCAGAACCGCAUUAAAACCCACUUUCUCUUGCUGAAGUCUUCAGAUGGCCGUUUUACCUUUGUACUUUUUGUCUCAAAACAGCCGCUGAUAGAUUAUCUUUCACGUUAAAGGCGUUAUUUUCAGGUAAAACCAAUGAUAAAAAGGUAUGCUAUUGUGGCAAGUUCUGGAAGAUGAAUGAUAUCGCAACAAGCUGAAAAAGUAUGCUAUAGCAGCUAGUUCUAAAAGAUAAAUGCUAUCGCAACAAGCUGAAGCAUUUACGAGCGACGACGGCGGCUUGAAAGGUUUGAGCGUGACUUUCAGGUUAAAGCACAGGCUUUGAAGCAUGAUUAAACUGUUUAUGUGUUUAUGUAGAGCGGUAUUAUUCGCGUGGCUAUUAUUUUCGUUAUAUACGCGGUUUUCACUUAAGCGCAAAUUUAAGACACCCGUGUAAUAAUUAUUUCCGGCUUAACACACCACUUAAUAUUCAAUUUUUAAAAAAUCUUGAACAUAAUACCUACGCGAAAUCAACCCGGUUUAGAGCUUUAGUAUUUUAUUUCCAAAUUAACUUUCUUCUCAUAAUAAAUUAGAUGGCUAACGGUGUUUUCUUUUAAUUGCAGAUUCAAACACAGUAUGGCUGAUGAAGCUAGCACAAACGUGUGCAGCCAGUGUGGCAAGGCUUUCCGCAAGAGGAGAAAUUUGCAUACGCGCGAGAAAAGUCACGCAGAUGUUUCCCUUUACUUGCUGUGACAGGGUUUCAAUUCUCGAUAGGCAUAGAUGCAGGAAGCAUGAUACAAGUUCAGACUUAAAGGCUUAAGAGAGGAGAGAGAACAAUCCUCGGGCUUUCAGUUGUGACAUUUGCGGCCAUCUUGUAGCAACCCGUCAUGAACCCACCGAGCACAUGCGCAGUCAUGAAGACAAUCGAAGUCUGGCCUGUCCACAAUGUGGUGCAAUGUAUGAGCACAGUUCAUCCCUGAAUCGGCAUAUUAGGCAACGUCGCAGGAAUGUGUGCGUAAUUUAAUCCGGUGAAUACUUAGAAAAAUCGAUGUAAACAUGUUCUCGUCAAAAUAUCAGGCUUUCUGAUAGUUUUAUAUGAAAUGCGGGGGUUAAGUGUUGCGAUGACAAUCAACGUACAAUGCAAUGUGUGUCUUUGCUCAAACAAUUAAAAAAUAUGUAAUAUGUGUUUUAUUAAUAUUAUACAAUACUGUGUUGAUCUCGAUUUCUAGUAAAGCAUUUCUAGUCAUUUA